RNAcentral lists this transfer RNA (82 nucleotides) under Kuraishia capsulata CBS 1993. RNAcentral describes it as "tRNA-Leu (CAG) (tRNA-Leu-CAG-1-1)". It matches the Rfam family "tRNA". From Rfam's summary of the family: Transfer RNA (tRNA) molecules are approximately 80 nucleotides in length. Lineage: Eukaryota; Fungi; Ascomycota; Pichiomycetes; Pichiales; Pichiaceae. The record is from RNAcentral.
GGACGUGUGGCCGAGUGGUCUAAGGCGCUCGCUUCAGGUGCGGGUCUCGCAAGAGGCGUGGGUUCGAACCCCACCGCGUUCA